Molecule: ribosomal RNA, 607 nt
Filed under: Bacillus subtilis
Lineage: Bacteria; Bacillati; Bacillota; Bacilli; Caryophanales; Bacillaceae
Description: bacterial SSU rRNA
Rfam family: Bacterial small subunit ribosomal RNA
Source: RNAcentral
UUAGGGUCAUUGGAAACUGGGGAACUUGAGUGCAGAAGAGGAGAGUGGAAUUCCACGUGUAGCGGUGAAAUGCGUAGAGAUGUGGAGGAACACCAGUGGCGAAGGCGACUCUCUGGUCUGUAACUGACGCUGAGGAGCGAAAGCGUGGGGAGCGAACAGGAUUAGAUACCCUGGUAGUCCACGCCGUAAACGAUGAGUGCUAAGUGUUAGGGGGUUUCCGCCCCUUAGUGCUGCAGCUAACGCAUUAAGCACUCCGCCUGGGGAGUACGGUCGCAAGACUGAAACUCAAAGGAAUUGACGGGGGCCCGCACAAGCGGUGGAGCAUGUGGUUUAAUUCGAAGCAACGCGAAGAACCUUACCAGGUCUUGACAUCCUCUGACAAUCCUAGAGAUAGGACGUCCCCUUCGGGGGCAGAGUGACAGGUGGUGCAUGGUUGUCGUCAGCUCGUGUCGUGAGAUGUUGGGUUAAGUCCCGCAACGAGCGCAACCCUUGAUCUUAGUUGCCAGCAUUCAGUUGGGCACUCUAAGGUGACUGCCGGUGACAAACCGGAGGAAGGUGGGGAUGACGUCAAAUCAUCAUGCCCCUUAUGACCUGGGCUACAACACGA